This 107-nucleotide small nuclear RNA is filed under the name Macaca nemestrina (pig-tailed macaque). Lineage: Eukaryota; Metazoa; Chordata; Mammalia; Primates; Cercopithecidae. The record is from RNAcentral.
GUACUCGCUUCAGCAACACAUAUACUAAAAUGGGAAUGAUACAGAGAAGAUGAGCAUGACCCCUGCACAAGGAUGACAUGCAAAUUGAUGAAACAUUCCAUAUUUUU